ACGUAGGGUGCCAGCGUUGUUCGGAAUCAUUGGGCGUAAAGCGCGUGUAGGUGGUUAUGCAAGUUGGAUGUGAAAUCCCUGGGCUCAACCGAGGAAGUGCAUCCAAAACUACAUAGCUAGAGGACGGUAGAGGAAGGUGGAAUUCCUAGUGUAGAGGUGAAAUUCGUAGAUAUUAGGAGGAAUACCUGUGGCGAAGGCGGCCUUCUGGGCCGUUCCUGACACUGAGACGCGAAAGCGUGGGGAGCAAACAGG
This 252-nucleotide ribosomal RNA is filed under the name uncultured bacterium. RNAcentral's name for it is "partial 16S ribosomal RNA". It matches the Rfam family "Bacterial small subunit ribosomal RNA", at positions 525 to 776 of the family's 1533-position model. The record is from RNAcentral.